GACGAACGCUGGCGGCGUGCCUAAUACAUGCAAGCUGAGCGCUGAAGGUUGGUACUUGUACCAACUGGAUGAGCAGCGAACGGGUGAGUAACGCGUGGGAAUCUGCCUUUGAGCGGGGGACAACAUUUGGAAACGAAUGCUAAUACCGCAUAAAAACUUUAAACACAAGUUUUAAGUUUGAAAGAUGCAAUUGCAUCACUCAAAGAUGAUCCCGCGUUGUAUUAGCUAGUUGGUGAGGUAAAGGCUCACCAAGGCGAUGAUACAUAGCCGACCUGAGAGGGUGAUCGGCCACAUUGGGACUGAGACACGGCCCAAACUCCUACGGGAGGCAGCAGUAGGGAAUCUUCGGCAAUGGACGAAAGUCUGACCGAGCAACGCCGCGUGAGUGAAGAAGGGUUUCGGAUCGUAAAACUCUGUUGGUAGAGAAGAACGUUGGUGAGAGUGGAAAGCUCAUCAAGUGACGGUAACUACCCAGAAAGGGACGGCUAACUACGUG
RNAcentral lists this ribosomal RNA (496 nucleotides) under uncultured bacterium. RNAcentral's name for it is "partial 16S ribosomal RNA". It matches the Rfam family "Bacterial small subunit ribosomal RNA", at positions 28 to 507 of the family's 1533-position model. The record is from RNAcentral.